This 254-nucleotide ribosomal RNA is filed under the name uncultured bacterium. RNAcentral describes it as "partial 16S ribosomal RNA". It matches the Rfam family "Bacterial small subunit ribosomal RNA", at positions 524 to 776 of the family's 1533-position model. The record is from RNAcentral.
UACGGAGGGUGCAAGCAUUGAUCGGAAUUACUGGGCGUAAAGGGCGCGUAGGCGGCAAUAAAAGUCAGAUGUGAAAUUCUCGGGGCUCAACCCCGGAGCUGCAUUUGAAACUUUAUAGCUAGAGGUCAGUUAGGGAAAACGGAAUUCCACGUGUAGCGGUGAAAUGCGUAGAUAUGUGGAAGAACACCAGUGGUGAAGACGGUUUUCUGGGCUGAUACUGACGCUGAGGCGCGAAAGCAAGGGGAGCAAACAGG